GUUGUUGGCAUGACACGGGUUAUGUUCUUCUCAUAUAUGUUAUGAUGGUAUGAUACUAAACCCCUAACGGGAAGGAUUGUGUCUGAUGUUCAUAUGAUGAAAUCAUAAUCUUUCAGUCAGUUUAAUUGAAGUCUGGAGCUGGCAUGUCAGUUAACUGCUAGUAGUCUGUUGUUAUUUAUGUAUUAUUGUCAUUUUGUUUAUUUUCUUUGGUUACAUCUUCUGACAUCAGACUCGGACUUCUCUUGAACUGAAUUUUAAUGUGCG
Molecule: long non-coding RNA, 264 nt
Filed under: Mytilus galloprovincialis (Mediterranean mussel)
Lineage: Eukaryota; Metazoa; Mollusca; Bivalvia; Mytilida; Mytilidae
Source: RNAcentral